GACGAACGCUGGCGGCGUGCUUAACACAUGCAAGUCGAACGGAAAGGCCCUGCUUUUGUGGGGUGCUCGAGUGGCGAACGGGUGAGUAACACGUGAGUAACCUGCCCUUGACUUUGGGAUAACUUCAGGAAACUGGGGCUAAUACCGGAUAGGAGCUCCUGCUGCAUGGUGGGGGUUGGAAAGUUUCGGCGGUUGGGGAUGGACUCGCGGCUUAUCAGCUUGUUGGUGGGGUAGUGGCUUACCAAGGCUUUGACGGGUAGCCGGCCUGAGAGGGUGACCGGCACCAUUGGGGGAUGAGACGCGGCAGGACGCCCGGGGGGGGAGAGAAGGGGGAAUUAUGGAAAAAGGGCGGGGGGCGGGACCCAGAACCCCCGGGUGGGGAAGGGGGCCUGGGGGUUGUAAACCUCUUUCGCCUGGGAAAGAGGGGGGAGGAGGGUGAGGGGAAAAAGAGCACAGGGCAAACUCGGGC
This 469-nucleotide ribosomal RNA is filed under the name uncultured bacterium. RNAcentral's name for it is "partial 16S ribosomal RNA". It matches the Rfam family "Bacterial small subunit ribosomal RNA", at positions 28 to 508 of the family's 1533-position model. The record is from RNAcentral.